CAGUCGCCGCGGGAAUACGGAGGGGGCUAGCGUUGUUCGGAAUUACUGGGCGUAAAGCGCACGUAGGCGGCUUUGUAAGUUAGAGGUGAAAGCCUGGAGCUCAACUCCAGAAUUGCCUUUAAGACUGCAUCGCUUGAAUCGCGGAGAGGUGAGUGGAAUUCCGAGUGUAGAGGUGAAAUUCGUAGAUAUUCGGAAGAACACCAGUGGCGAAGGCGGCUCACUGGACGCGUAUUGACGCUGAGGUGCGAAAGCGUGGGGAGCAAACAGGAUUAGAUACCCGCGUAGUCCCUGUCUCUUAUAU
Molecule: ribosomal RNA, 301 nt
Filed under: uncultured bacterium
Lineage: Bacteria
Description: partial 16S ribosomal RNA
Rfam family: Bacterial small subunit ribosomal RNA
Source: RNAcentral